Molecule: long non-coding RNA, 281 nt
Filed under: Mytilus galloprovincialis (Mediterranean mussel)
Lineage: Eukaryota; Metazoa; Mollusca; Bivalvia; Mytilida; Mytilidae
Source: RNAcentral
UUUAAUUAAUGUUUUUUAAUUUGGUCAAAUAUUCAAAUUAUGUCAAUUUAAAAAAAACAUACAAUGAAAUAGCAGCAAAUAUCACAUCUUUUUAAUACUAUGUCGUUUACAAACAAUAUUAUUAGUGAUUUUAAAAAGUUGAUUAGUUCAGUUCAAACAUUAUAUUAUCAUCCCAGUAACUAUGAUUUGCCACAUUACGAUUUCCGUUCGUCAGGUAUUUAUGAUUGAAGAACCGAAUUUGCAAUAAUUGUUCCUUGUAAACGAUAUAGUAACAUCCAAUU